This 474-nucleotide ribosomal RNA is filed under the name Triticum aestivum (bread wheat). RNAcentral's name for it is "partial small subunit ribosomal RNA". Lineage: Eukaryota; Viridiplantae; Streptophyta; Magnoliopsida; Poales; Poaceae. The record is from RNAcentral.
AUGGAAGACGGCAGGGCUUUGAGGAGGAUGUCUAUCCCUACCCGCAGAAGCAGAUCUGCCGAUUUCCACAAUUUUUCAGAAAGGAGGAGACGGGAUAAGAUCAACGAGAAGCUCAAGGCACUGCAAGAGCUACUUCCAAACUGCACCAAGACGGACAAGGUGUCGAUGCUAGACGAAGUGAUCGACUACCUGAAAUCGCUCCAGCUGCAACUCCAGAUGCUAGUGAUGGGGAAAGGGAUGGCGCAUGUGGUGCCUCCGGAGCUGCAGCAGUACAUGCACUACAUCACCACGGAUCCCGCUGCCCAGUUGAUGCAGAUGCCUCCCUCGGAGCCGCCGCAGCCGUUCCAGAUCACGCACGCCAACCCACCGCAGCGGGAGUCUGAUUUCCUCAGCCAGAUGCAGAACCACCUGCACCCCUCCGACCAGCCUCAGAUCAACUUCCUCAGGCCGCAUGUUCAUCCAUGUAUGUGGUGA